Molecule: ribosomal RNA, 474 nt
Filed under: Alloprevotella sp. oral taxon 473
Lineage: Bacteria; Pseudomonadati; Bacteroidota; Bacteroidia; Bacteroidales; Prevotellaceae
Description: bacterial SSU rRNA
Rfam family: Bacterial small subunit ribosomal RNA
Source: RNAcentral
GAUGAACGCUAGCUACAGGCUUAACACAUGCAAGUCGAGGGGCAGCAUGGAAGAAGCUUGCUUCUUCUGAUGGCGACCGGCGCACGGGUGCGUAACGCGUAUCAAACCUGCCUCAUACUCGGGGAUAGCCUUGCGAAAGUAAGAUUAAUACCCGAUGUUGUUAUGUUACCGCAUGGUGAUAUAACCAAAGAUUUAUCGGUAUGAGAUGGUGAUGCGUCCGAUUAGGUAGUAGGCGGGGUAACGGCCCACCUAGCCUUCGAUCGGUAGGGGUUCUGAGAGGAAGGUCCCCCACACUGGAACUGAGACACGGUCCAGACUCCUACGGGAGGCAGCAGUGAGGAAUAUUGGUCAAUGGACGAAAGUCUGAACCAGCCAAGUAGCGUGCAGGAUGACGGCCCUCUGGGUUGUAAACUGCUUUUAGUUGGGAAUAAAAAAGAGGACGUGUCCUCUAUUGUAUGACCUCAGAAAAAGACC